RNA transcript from Belonocnema kinseyi, 1863 nucleotides. It is a transcript of the gene named myb-like protein X, with no coding region annotated. The record is from RefSeq and is a predicted model, not a curated record. NCBI's taxonomy places the organism in Eukaryota, Metazoa, Arthropoda, Insecta, Hymenoptera, Cynipidae. The transcript is spliced from 5 exons.
UUUAGGCAUUUCCAUCUAUUUAAAUUUUGCAAUUUCAAUUUUUAAUUAUAAUUUUGGUUAAAAAAAUUACAGGGUGUAUUUUUAUUGAAAAAUUUUAUCGAAAAAAAAGGGAAAAUUACUACAAUUAAAGUUCAAUGUGUUGCCAAGAUCAUUGUACGUCAGUGAUUACCAAUUGUUAUCAAUCCUUGAUUGUGAUUGUUGAUCAAAAUAAAUUGUUCACUUCGAUUUUCUUUAUUCUUUCUUCAAGAUGAACUUAAAAUCGGAGAAAACAUCAGGAAUGUCUUCAAACACACUUCGAAUAUUGCACUUACCCCCUGAACUUUCCGACGAACGAAGAGACCAACUACUCAAAAAAUACAAUGCCGUAAAAACGAAGACUGUGAGAAAAUCGGCAAAAUAUUCGAUAACAUUUGCGGAAUUCCCUUCAAAGGAAAUUGCAACCGAAGCAUUUUUGCGCCUUCACCAACUAGAAGUAAAGGAUCAUCGACUCUCUAUUGAUUUUGCCAAAGAAUCGAUCUCGACAGAUUACACCAAGAUUGACCCUAGUGAUAAAAUUGAAGAACAGGAGUCGAAAAAGGAAAGCACUCAAAAAACACAUUUGCAGAAUUUUUUAAAGAAGUUAAACAGUUGGAGUGGAAGUAAUUUGUUUACACAACCGCCUAAUCCAAGUAUUUGGUACGCGUAUCCGCCACCCACUAAAGAAACUCUUUUGAGAAUUUUUAUUCAGUUAUUGAAAGAACCGAUGUUUUAUACACAGGUAUUACAUUUAAUGAACAGAAUGAAUUUACCGCCUCCAUUCGAAGAAAUGGAAAUGGAAUUUCCUUUAUUGAAGGAAACAUACAAUGUGGAUCAAUACAAAAAUCUCUUUGGAAUUCUAGAAAUGCCGCAAACAGAAUUGAGACCAAAUAUCGAGUCGCAAGAGCAAGAAGAGGAGGAAGAAGAGGAAUCGGAAAUUGAAUCUGAAGAUGAACCAAGUAGCAAACUCCAGAAUAUAAUUCCUGUGAAAAGAAAGAAACCUUCUUCGACAAAGAGGUUGAAGAUUCCAAAGUUUGUAAAUCCGAAAAAAUUAGUUGCAACUUCUUCCUCUAACCAGAAGCCCUUGAGGCCGGAAGAUUUAUUCGAAUCUGUAGAUAAAAGUCAACCUAAGAAGGUUGAAUUAAAAAUUGUUAGCAGUCUGUCAUCAGCAGAAUCGACAUCUUUUCAGGUGUCCAAAGACAAACAAGAGGGGGGUUUUGGCAUUAUUUUUCCUGCUAAUAAAUCUGAGGUUAAAUCUACGGAGGAAAGUGAAAAAAGGGUUGAGGAGCAUCAAGAAUUUAUUACUUCGGAACAACUUGCGAGUAAUAGAAUACCAGUUAAGGAUUUCGAUAAGUUUUCUGCGGGUAAGAAUUACCAUCCUGGAAAACCAUCCUGUCGUUUGUACAUAAAAAAUCUGGCGAAGCAGGUCGAACUAAAAGAUUUGUAUUUUAUUUACAAAAAAUACUUUAUUGAAAAUUUGGCUACGAGUGAGAGACAGUUUCAGGUGAAACUUAUGGAAACGGGACGAAUGAAAGGGCAAGCUUUUGUAACGUUGCAAAAUGUUAAGCAGGCUGAAUUGGCUCUCAACGAAACGAAUGGUUACGUUCUCAAAGAUAAAGCGAUGGUGGUUCAGUUUUCUAAAAAUGAUGCGUAAAACUGAGAAUCGUUGGAAGCGAGAGCUGAGGAGAUUAUUGUGAUAUAAUGGACAAGAGGAAAUUCCGCCAAUUUACAAGGCAACCAAUGGGCAGGUAGCUGUCGAAAAGGCGAGUCCUUCGAAAAAGGUGGCUUCUGUGAAAACGGAAACAGCCAAAAAGUCAUCAAAGACUGAAGAACUUGACGGAAAGCUAA